CACACAGGGGCCAUUGUGACAUAUAUCCAGGCCAAUUGCCUAGGUGAAGUUUGUCUCCUUUCCUGCCUAAGCCCUGCCCACGGGGAAGAUUUAGAUAUAUCACUAAAACCAGCACCCAAGUGAUGUGACUCUUCACCAGAGUCCUGCCCACAAGGAGGAUUGUGACAUUUCACUGGACCAGCACCCACUCAGGAAUCAAAUCCGAGUUCGUCUACAGCUGAUUCGGCAGGUACCAGGGCGUCCGCGAUGGUGGUAUUGCUCCAUAUGCCUGAGACCCUAACAAAAGCCUAAUUACAACUCAUAUGCCUGGAGCCAGGACAUGUGCAGGAUGGUGAUGUAACUUUCCUCUCUGGAAUGGGUCCUGCACAAAGGAAUGAUAGUAACAUAUUGCAAAGCCAGACACACAGCCAUGAUGGUCCAAGUUAUAUUGGGAUUCAGCCAAUAGAAGAUAUUUUGCCUGUCAUCCCUAAGCUUAGGACAAUAGACUCUGCCAAGAGAGGGGAUUAUUACAUAUUGCAGAGCCCAGCACCUAGGUGGAGUGACUCUCAUCUUUUUCUUCUACCCCGUAUAUAGCCAGCUUGGUGACCUACUAUUUGAGUCUAUACCCAGGCCCAGACCACAGAUGAAAUUGUGCAAUAUGUGGAACAAACACCUAAACAAUAUAUAACACCUUCCUUGGCUCUGUCUACAAAGGGCACUUUUAUAUAUCACUGGGACCAUCAACCAGGUGAUGUUAAUUAUCUUCCUGAAACCUGUCUACAAAGAGAGUUGUGUCGUAUACCUAGGCCCGUCAUGUGAUGUUGUGCCAUAUAACUGAGACCGUAUCAAAAGCCUAAUAACAAGACGUAUGUCUGGAGCCCCGAUAUGCACAGGAUGGUUACAUGACUCUCCCCUCCUGCCUGUGCCCUGAUUCCUUGGUAACUACAGCAUUUCUGAGCACUGCAUCCAAAUGAUAUGACUGUCUUGCCUGGGCCCUGUCAACAGGAGGCAUUGUGACAUAUUUUGGGGCCCAUCAUUUAGGGGAUAAGACUCUCCUCUCCUGCUUGGACACUGCCCACAAGGGACAUUGUGCCACAGCGCUGGACCUAGCACACAAGUUAUGUGACGUUUCUGACAGGUCUGCCUAAAAAGAGGAUUUUGGAAUAUUUCUGGCCCAGCAUUUAGGUGAUGUGGCUGUCCUGCCUGCUUCAUAACCACAGAGGGGAUUGUAACAUAUGCCUAGGCACAGCUCACAGGCAUGAUAAUGACUCUUAUAUAUGGAUUCAGCCAAUAGAGGAUAUUUUGACUUUUAUAACCAGAUUUACAUACAUGCAUGAUGUCUUGGAUCACAUUCCUGUACAAAGGUCACAAAAGAUUACAACACUCACACAUAUUUUACAAAGUCUUUCGGUAAUACAGACAGAGCCAAAGCAGGGCUCAGCACACACGUGAAAUUGUUAGUCAUGUAUCCAGACCCAGCUGACAGUAAGGAUUGUCAUCAUUUCACAUGGAUGAAGCCAACUGUGACACAUGAAAACAGAACAAGUGUGGUAUUGUGAAUCUCAUCUUUGGAAUUUUCUGACAGUACGAUUGUGAUACAAAUUUUUUCCAAGCAACUGUGUAAUUUGACCCUACAGAGUUUUUCCAGCACAUAUAUGGGAUUGUGAUGUCUACCUAGGCCAAUCUCAAGGUGAUGUGACUCUCCUGCCUGGGCCCUUCUCUCAGUGAUAUAACCCUCUUCUCUGGAAUGGGCCCCACACAAAGGAAGGAUAGUGACAUAUUGCAAGCCCAGGCACACAGGCCCAGAGCACAGUUGAAAUUGUGACAUAUGUACACCAAGCAACCAAGCAAUGUAUAACACCUCAUUUGGCAAUGGAAUCGAGGGCACUUUUACAUAUCACUGAGACCAGCGCCCAGCUGAUGUGAAAUAUUGGCCUGAACCCUGCCUACAAAAGCAUUGUGGCUUUUAUCUAGCUCCAUUACAUAAGUGAUGUGACUUCCUUCUACUGCCUUGGCCCUGCACUUAUGGUGAAUCGUGACACAAAAUUGGGUAGAGCAACCAGCCUGGGCCCUGACCAGCACAGAGAUUGAGGCAUAUUGCUGAACCCAGGACCAAGAUGAAGUCACUCUCCUGCCUUGAUCCUGCACACAGGGACCCUUGUGACAUAUAUACAGGCCAAUUGCCUAGGUGAUGUUGUGCAAUAUACCUGAGACCAGAUCAAUGGCCUAAUAAUGACUCUUUUACCUAGAGCCAGGACAUGUGCAGGAUGGUAACUCUCAUCCCUGAACCUUUCCACAGGUGUUAUUGUCACAUAUACCUUUUCCAGCUCCAAAGUGAUUUAAUAAUCCAGCCUAGUUAUAGCCCACAGAUAAUAUUUGGACAUAUACCUGAGUCAAGAACCUUGGUGAUUUGA
Long non-coding RNA from Homo sapiens (human), 2393 nucleotides. Ensembl annotates it as long intergenic non-protein coding RNA 293. Lineage: Eukaryota; Metazoa; Chordata; Mammalia; Primates; Hominidae. The record is from Ensembl.